Molecule: long non-coding RNA, 11033 nt
Organism: Schistocerca gregaria
Lineage: Eukaryota; Metazoa; Arthropoda; Insecta; Orthoptera; Acrididae
Exons: 3
Source: RefSeq, a predicted model, not a curated record
UUUGAUUGUGUAACCCAAAACAUUGUCACUCGCCUGUCGUCAGACAAAUCUAAUCAAAUCUAGGGUCUCGCCAAACAGCCACGCUUCAAGUAACUGGAAGCGGGAGAAGGCACUGCUCUUACGCGAAUUCAGCUCUGCGCUUGCGCACGAGCCCGCUGGUAACUGCUCAAAUGAACCUUUGAUCAUAAAAGUCGUUCGUCUUCUGUUGACUGCAAUGUGAAAUGUAAUCGCUUGGAGCGCUGGCGUUGCUCCAGCUAUUUGACGUCUGUGUAGUGUAUAAAGUGUUUGUGUGCAUGGCAAUUUGCUUCGAAGUUUGUGUGUUCCUUUGACUACUUUUUUAAUCUUGCUUCGUCUAGGGCGGGGGGGUAAUAAAUCGACAUAUUGCAUGUUAUUAAUUGUGUGUGUUGGUGGGCACGUGGCAUAUGCUGCAGGCGACUUCAGCAAGCCAGAAAAGAGGAGCUGGUCACAUUCUUAACAAUUCUUUCUUAGCUUUCCAUUCUACGUUUGUCUAUUUUUGAGCACUGGAUGCCAUAAGUUAAAAAGCGCUUCAUCCGUUUCCUACUUUUUAUUAAUUUUGUAGUUAGUGGAACACUAAUUCCAUUUUCAAAAAUAAAAAUGGUUUUAUUCUCCACAUAGUGUACGAAACAUUUUUUUUACCUUCACAUAUUCCCUCUUCCGUGCUGUAUAAUUCGCUUCAUAUGUUUCUGUAGUUAUUUUGGUUAAUGUGCAAUGUGAUACUCGAGUGCUGUGUUGUAAACUAGAGAAGCUCUCUCUUGUAUCAAGACACCACAGUGUCUCAGUUUGCUUGACUUCUGCGCAUGUAGCAUUUCUCAGGAGAGUAUUCUGUUUGUAACAUGAGAAGGCACUUUACUGAGCAAAUUCUGAAAUAUACACUCAUCCAUUCGUGAGUGAUUUAUAUAUCGUCAUUUUUAACUGUUUUCCGUCUUAUCCUUUAGUUGCUUUAAAUUCGUGGAGGUAUGUGCCGUCUAUGCAACUAAAUGAAGGCAGUUUGUUUGUUGCCAUACGCGUUUCGCUUCAUUUUGUAACCUAAAAAAAAAAAAAUACCGACAAAAUGUAAUAUAUCAACAGAUUAUAUCUAGUAGAUAAUACGCUUAUUGUAUAUAUAAAAAGAAACAUGUAUUUCAGGCCACUGAUGAUGCUUCCCAAAUAAAUGAAGCGAAACGCGUAUGGCAACAAACAGACUGCCUUCAUUUAGUUGCAUAGACGGCACAUACCUCCACGGAUUUAUAUAUGUUUUGACGACGACCUCCAUUUGCGACUCUCGUAACAAAUUUUGCUGAAUGCUUUUACGAUCUCGAAGUAAUACCUAGAUGGCUUCAUCCAAGUAGCUUCCCUGCUUUCCGCCCCUUUUUUUUGCAAAUAGACACACAAUGCAAUUGUGGUACAAGCAACUGCAUCCGAUAAUAAGUUGUCUCAUCUUGAAAUGUGACGAAAAAUAUGACGACACUGUAAUAACCCUGUUUAUAUUAUACUUCUUAAAUAGGUUCAUGUUCGAAAAUUGUUGCACCACGCCUGCACAAUUGUUGGUUACCAAUAGUUCUGUUCCCGGAAAGCUUGUAUACCACAGGAAAUUUUUCCCACCCAACAUUAUGACAGCAUACAACAGUAAUACAAAUUUAUGCAAGUAAAUUACCCAGAGAGGUUUGGAGCAUGUACCUGUAAUAUAAUUAAUAUUCAUUCUUUAAUUGUGGUUCGCAGUUCCCAUCAAGGAGGAGGGCCUUCUGAAUGUAUUAAGAUAACACAAGCAACUGUUCUGAAAUUAAUCUGUAUACACACAUAAUUAUGUCUUUAACUAUAGUAUGUUGUGUGAUCUAUUUGUUCUGUACCUCUGCGCCCUAGUAAAUCCCAACAUACAUAUUGUGGUGGCUCACUGAGCUCUCCACAGUUUUUGAAUGGAUUUUAUACUAAAAGCCCAUGUCUUGGGUCAUGAGUUGGAACUGAUAAUGUUAACGGAGUUUGUUCGUUUUCAGACAUGUAGAAAGUUUACUUUUAAAAUUUCUAUUUAGUUUACCAAAAUCACUGCAGGCCCUCUUUAUUUCUGUUUAUUUGUUUUGCUGUCUGUUCAUUCGUCAUUUCAUCUGCAGCACAUACAAAAUCUCAUGAACAAGUUUUAUGGAGAAACUGGUUAGUUAAAACUUGUUACUUAAUAUGAAUCACCUUUUUAUUAUUUUAGUGUUAUUGCAAUUCACUUUUUGUGCUGUUCUUAAAACACCUACAAAAAUUACUUUUUCAUUGGAGCAAACAGUAGGAUGUCAUCUUCCAGACAAAGUUAGUUAAGAUAUGUUUAAUUAGUCCGUAUCAAUAUUGCUUCUUUGUUUUCUCAGUUUAAGGACCUGAGAAUCUCUCUCCAGGGUUGCUGAGAAUAGUUGUUGUGAUAGGAAAUUGCCUUGCCUGACUCCUCUAUUCAAUUCUGAAUUAGGUGAUUUAAAGAGCUGAUGCAGAAAUUCAGUGACAUUGUGAUAUGAAUAGUCUCCCCAGGGCCACAGAAAUAUCUAGAGUGUUGGGAUUGGGCAUUAUAUGGAAAUUCUACUAAAUGUACUUAAGAUAAACAUAGGAUUUCAUCCAUUACUUGAAAAUGUUAAAUUGAAUAUAAUGUGUAUAUGAGGCUAGAUCAGUACGAACAAAACAGAAGAGAUAUUGUUCUAUGGAUAUGUAUAAAGAGAGAAUGGUAAACUGCAAAGCUUUUGAAAUAACUUUUGCCCAGAGGCAAAAAAUAAAAAUGUAUCAACCAAAUAUUGGUUAACUAUAAUGAGACAUUGACUGUCAUUGAUUUCUCAUAAUUUUGUUCAUUAUGAAUAUGUGAACAGCUGUACAUCUUUCUUGGAUAGCACCCUAUAUUUUUUUAUUUGGUAAUUUACUUCUUCUCCCCAAGACCCAUUCAAAAAUGUCCCAGUGUAGCGUUCAUGUAAACAUGACAUAAUUUAAAACAUAACAUAAAACUGAGUACGACUCGCAUAUACUGGCACACAGUGCAGCUACCUGGGGUACUGUGAUUCGUCCACAUACUGGCGUUAACAGUAAAUAAAUGGAAAUAUGAGGAAAAUGCACACUGGUCAUUGAGUCCACUGUUUUCUACUGAAGGUCUGUGGGAGUGCAUCUAUGAAGGAUUUAAGUUGGCAGAACAGUAUUCCCAAUAAGGUUUUCUUAUUUACAAUGCAGAUACAUUUAGUACAUCAUGGUAGUGUCUUUAAAUGAUAUGUUGUGUAGAGUAAAGGCAGUUCUUGAUUAAAAACUGCAUCAUCAUUACUCAGGCAGAGGAACUCUGCAGAGAGUGGUAUCCUGACAAGAACCCACCUUUUCAGGAGACGUUUUUUCGUCUUCUUGUGAGUCUUCAGGAAGUUUCAAUCCAAGACAUUCAAUCAUGAUAUAACUUGUGCAGAAGAAUCUGCAGAGGUAUUAUUCUUGUUUAUGUUGCAAUGAAUCCACAGGAGAGCACAUGGCAACUUGGACAGGAAAUUAACAUCCUUAUCAUGUAUACCUAUAAAAAGAAUUAAACAAUGGAAAAGCCAGGGUGAAAUGUAACAAAGAAUUACAUGAGAGAUUUUCAGUACCAUGUAUAAUUCUAUCAGUGACACAGCAUCAGAACCUUGUCAACUAGAACUACUAUUCUCACUUUCAUUUUAGCAAUGAAUGUUCCGUCUCAGAGGGCAGGUAAAUGCAACGAACAUUUAGGACAUAUCCCAACUUUGUCAGACGAAUUUUUUUUUUUUUUUUCUCACCCUCUGGUUGAAGUGCCACUAAAAGGGCACAAGACACAAGUGAUGGAUCACAGUGCUCCGUUUUCUGCAAUGUCACCAGCAAUCGGUCGCUUGCCUAGAGACCCCACACAUGAGUGAUUGCCAAGCAAUUGCAGUCGGUGUUAUGAACAUCACUUUGUCAAGAAGUUGUGCUAGACAGCUAUGCUUCACAGCAGUUGCUGUUGAUUUCCGUAUCCCCACGAUUACUUGAAAAAUGUAAAUUUAAAUAGAUGUGAAUGAUAAGGUAUUAACCUUGUUUAGAAAUGCUUUUCUUGGGAAGUGUUUAUUACUUGAAUAUAUUACAUUUUCUACUGAUGUCAAAUGGAUUAUGUACAUCUUUCCAGUGUGCCAAUACAAUUCAUUUCACAUUUACUACUCUUCAGUUCCUUUUUUAUUCAUUAGUAUUAUUGUCUAAGUGCAAUUUAUUAAGUGAAUCUAUAGAGAUAGUGUCAAUGACAGCAUUAAUGAUUAGCAUAAUUCUUCUUUUAAAUUGUGUGAAGGAGAAUUAAAUUUUAUGAUAUGACAAGAGACUUGAAUAUAACGGUAUACUAGAUUUGUCUUGAACUUUAAAUUAAGUGUCCUCUUAACAUUACAGUGUGAAGGCAACAUGCAUCAUUAUGUCUAGAAAUUAAAAACUUUGACAAUGACUUUAACUAUUUCAUAAAUUACUCAAAAUCAUAAGGUGGCACCCAUUGUAUCAUGACCAUUACUUUGAAAUUCCCAUCAAUUCUACUUCUGCAGUACAAACUUCAAAAAGCUAAUCAUUGCGAAAUUUGAGGGAGUAUUUUGUUUUACUUCUAAAUACAAGUGGCAUCUCUUGCAUUCUCCUCACUUCUCAGACCAAUUUGUGGUCUCUGCAUCACUAUAAAUUCUAACACAAAUUUGUUACUCAACUUGGGCUUGGUCCGAGCUGCCACAGUUGGUGGUCACGUGUGUGUGCGGUGUACUUGCUUGUGUGACUGAAUGGUGUGUGUUUCUCUCUUUUUUCUGAUGAAGGCUGCAGCCAAAAGCUAAUGUGUAUACUUAAACAGCACCUGUCUGCAACUUAACAUGUCAUCUUUACACCAUCAACACCAGGGGACACUGUACAGUCAGCACAAACAUCAGUAGAAAUUAACAGAAGAAUCAUAGAAGCAGGAAACCCACAACCCUUAAGAAUUUUUGGUGUCCUACCCCAAGAACAACAUAAAUUUAGCACAGGCUACCACACUGUUAAUCAUUUCUGCAGAUAAGACUAAAAGGGAGGUCGCUGUCUGAUCCUUGCCAUAGACAGUGUAGACUGUAAUCCCAUACAACCAAGCUAUGAAAAGCAUUUUGAAAUGUUGCAGUAGUGAUUACAUUCAAGAAGCAUUUAGCAGUAUGUUUCUAGUGAUUAGUGAUGAUAUCAUACUAGUGUUUACUUCGGAACUAAACUUAGUGCUAUGACGCUAUAAUUCAAAGUACCCUAAUAUUUUGCUGUAUGGUGACCUUAACACAAAUUUUUAAAAGGCUCAUCGUCUUGUCAUAACGUGAAUGUGGUAAAAUGCUAUAACAUGGAAAAUAUGAAUCACAGGUUUGCAGGAAUAACAGCUACUAAUCUUUCUGCUAUUGACAGCUUUUUUGUUAAUACCAAUAUUUCAUCAUUAUUGCACAUUAAACAAUAUUUUCUGUGGCAUAUUGUAUUAUAAUUGUUUCAUAUGAAUUAUAGCUGUACUAAACACUAAUAAGCAGACAGACACAUAUACAAAUGAGCAUCAUUGGGCAACAAAAACGAUGUAUCAACUUCCACACAUUUUCUCUGUAGAGAUGACUGAAGUUGUGUUCAUAGUGCUUGUGAUGUUAACAGCGAACAUAUGAAUUAUGGGCACUCUGCAGGACAGUUAUGAUGUGGCAUUUCAAAUUAGGUUUAUUUCUACACGGCACCAAUUUGGGGGGGGGGGGGGGGUGCAGUAAGAAGUUGUUAGUUCUAGGAAUGCAACUAUCUUGUUGCUUGCAUACAGCAGAAUUGUGAACAAUAAGUUAUUUUAUGAGUAUUUCAGACUAAAAAAUUUCAGAACAAGGUUACUCAUAAAACCAAAAAACUGUACAACUGGCAAUUUAUAGUAAACUCGAGGAGUAAAUCAAAAGUCAUGUAGGAAAUUAUUAGUGGGACAAUGGGUGUGAUAGCAAUUUCCCUCAGUAACGCACAUUAAGAAUGAGGGUAGUGUUGUACAUGACUAUAAAUAAAUAUGUGAAGUAUUCAAUAACCACUUCACAAACACUAGCGAAACUUUAUAUUCUUGGAUUGGCACUUAGAGCCCUCUUUCUGGUCAGAGCUAGAGUUAUACCCUAAAAUAUUGUUUCUUGAUACAGUUACACUAGCUGAAAUCUUAAAAAUUAUAAAGCAGAAACCAAACUCUCAUGCAUGCAGUUUUGAUAGCAUAUUGAAUUAUCUUCUCAAACAGAGAAGUAACUUGUCUGUCACUUAUAAUAAACUGCUCCUUGCUGUUGGGCCAAGUGCAUAAAAUUUUCAAGGCAGCAAAAGCAGUUUCUCCUUUUAAAAAUUAUGAUGUUAACAAUUACAGGCUCAUCUUGAUUGUGUCAAGCAUACCCAGGGUUCUCAAGAAAGCAAUGUAUGACUGUGUUAUUAAGUUCCUGAAAAACGACUGUUUAACAAGCCCUUUGUCUGUUUGGACGUCAAAAAGGGAGCUAAAUAAAUGGGCCCCUAUGUUUGUUUCUGAAUGAAGUUUGUAGUGCACUCAGUGACAUAAAGCAUGCAACAGGAGUAUCCAUUGAUUCUGCAAAGUCCUUCAAUCUCAUCAAUCGUGAAUUACUCGCAGAGAAACUGCUAAAGUAUGGAAUUUGGGGAAUAUCCAACAGUUGGUUUGUAUGAUAUUUUUCAGAGUACAAAAAGUUGUAAUCACCUCAAAAAUGUUGGAAGUGUACAGUUAAAGGAGAACCAAGCAUAUUAUUCUUGAUGGUGAGUGUUCAUUAGAGGUACUGUUAUCAUCCUAUAUUCUGUGUGGUUAUAUUAAAGUGUAGCUAGUUGGAGAGAUCCAAUUUGGGCUGUAAUUAUCAUAUGGCAGUGAAACCUGGCAGAUAUUCUAAUGUGUUAAUGUGGAACUGAUUUACGCUGGGAAAAAAAGUUCCAAUUUUGGCCAUUAGAUGCAAAUCUGGUGUUGUGAAUGCAAGGAAGACACACAGAAAUGUUUCUAUAAAUGUAUUAGGAACAGGAUGUGGGCAGAAGAGAUCAAACAGGCGAGAAAAGCAUAAUACUGAUUUUACUGUUAACUGCUGCUUACAAAGGUUGUUCAAUACGAGCACUAUAGAUUGUGAUAAAAUGCUGCAUCUGUAAAAUGAUAUGAUCAACAUUUGCUUGCAGCAGUUGCGGUGGAAUUUGAGCAGCACGUUCCUGUAUAAUGGCCUUCAGAUCGGGUAGAGACCGAAUGAGUCCCUGGUAAAUGCUUCUGUUAGGCAUCUCCAUAACAAAAAGUCACAUGGAUUUAGAUCAGCUGAUCUUGUAGAUCAUAUCUGGAAAACCUCUGGAGGUAACACCUUUAAGGAAGGUUGCAUUGAGCAGGUAUUUCAGUGGGUGAGCGACAUGAGGUGUUGCCCCAUUUUGUAUGAAAAGACUGGUUUCCACACAGUUGCACUGUUCCAAAGCAGGAACCACGUGCUGUUCGAGGGGGUUUUGAUAAUGUGCAAACAUGACAGGACACCACUCACCACUCUUUGGUGAGUUCAUGCUUGGCUACCAUGGGUUGCCGUCCUUUGCAGCAGCUCUUCCCUUUCCUUGCUGCAUGUCUCUCUUGCUUUCACCUCCCUGGGGAACAUAUCUUGGGUAGUUUGCAUUCUGAAGUUUCAGUAGCCUGUCUGUUUUUUCCUUCUUUCUUCAUUCUCCAUCUCCUCCCCUUCCUCAAAUUCAGCAUUUGUGGUCUCCCUUUGUUUCUUCGUCCUCCCUGUGCAUUCCUGAAGAACAGUCCAUGCAUUUGAUGUGUAACAGGUGACAGGAUAACGCAUAAUUCCCGGUCCCUGGUUGGUUGGCAGGAUUUGCAAGUAUGCCCUGGUACAGGCCAGCCCCAGGGUAGGUUGACCGCCUGAGCUGUUCCCUCCCCUGCUACCAAAUGGUCUCUCUGUCUGGAGUUCGGGUGGUGGGAACAGUCACCUAAGGUGGAUAAGCUGUCCUCUGAGGGCCCAUCAGUUGAAAGGAGUGCGCCAUCGGAGAUUCUGCCAGUUGUGGGGGAUUUUUUUGCAGUAGACCAUCACCUUUAUCUCAAUCCACGUCUAUUAAACAUAAACAGAAUGAGGCUAAAGAUUGAACGACUCUGUCCCGCGCACUUCAGUUCCUCGUGGUUUCAUGUACAGAAAGAGGUCAGGCCUUUGCUACAGUUAAUCCAUUUAUUAUUCAGAAAGGUGUUAUGCAAUUGCAGGCCCUGUGAAAUCCUGCUCUUGCCUAUGCAAUGGGACUUUGUUUCUGGAGAUCAAUUGUGAUUGUCAAGCCCAACAAUUGCUUACAGCUUUGCUCCUCCACUGCUAUCCUGUUCACGUAAAGGCUCAUUGUACGCUGAAUUCUUCCCAUGGUGUUAUUUACACUCAGUUGCUUUAUGGUGUGACUGAGGGGGAAAUCCAACAUUAUCUCUCUGAUCAGGGAGUCACUAUGGCCCAUUGGGUAACAAAAAAGGUUGAUGCAAACUUAGUGCCUACACGAGUUCUCAUAUUUGAUUGAGUAGUGCUUCCGUUGAAGAUUAAGGUAGGCUAUGAAGUCAUUAUGGUCUGUCCAUACAAUCCAAACCAAAUGAAUUGCUAUCAGUGUCAAUGUUAUAAACACGUAUCCUAUCAAAACAUGACCAAAUGUGUUACUUGCGGUAGAAAUGCUUGUGAGGACAACUGUCUGUACCAACUGUAAUGGUGGCCGUCCUGCCUUAUCCUGUGAGUGUCCUAUGAAUCUCAAUGAGCAGGCCGCCCAGGAGAUCUGGGUGGAGGAAAAAGUACCCAACCCUCUCACUUGCAAGAUGUUGAUGAGUUGAAAGUGCUGCAUUUUACCAUCCGGCACUUACAGCACUGUUUUUGCAAUGCCUUUCUCCACGAAGUACAUGGCCAUGUAGACUUGUGACCUCCAGUCCAGCACUGCACCUAUAAAAUCGCACAGUAUCAUGGUAGCUUCCCCAUAUCCUUACUAAUAAGUGUCUUACUGCAUUCAUCUAAUUUCAUCCUGUGUUAUUGUUUUAGUGGCUAACAUGAUCAGUGAGUUAUUGCUUAUAUGGAUUUUGUCAUUAAUUACUUUCUUUUUCAUUGCAAGGGAUCUUUGUGUGUGAAAGUUUUCUUGUAAUGUGAGGAGAUUUUUGUUGCGAUUGUUCACUGUAAUAAGUUUCAUGUCAUGUUCUAUGUUGGAUGGCUCAUGUCCAUGUUUUAUAAGGUGUUCGGCAAAUGUAGAAUGGCUAUUUUCGUACUUCCAGCUUCUUAUAUGCUCUUUUUAUGUAGUUUUGAAAUUCCUGUCUGUCAUCCCCAGAUAUACUGAUUCACAUUCUUGGCAUUCUAAUUGGUAUAUACUUGCUCCUUAGUAUUUAUCUGAUUUGUCUGUUAUUGUUUGUAAAUGUGACUGUAGUGUGUUUCUAGUUCUGUAAGCAAUGUGUAAUCCCUGUUUCUUUAAUAUAUUUGCUAUACUGUGUGUUGAUUUGUGUUUAUGUUAAAGUGUGCCAUUUCCUUCUGUCAGUCAUGUCAUGAAUGUCACUGUUUUGUGUUUUCGCAUGUGAUGUAGUGUCUGUGGGGUUCUUUAGUGUUUGUAUUCUCUGCUUGUUUUCAUUUUUCUUUGGUUGUGUUUUGUCGUUUUAGUGGAGUCCUUGUACUAUAUGAAUGUUGUAACUAUUGUCUGCGGCUAUGAGUUGCAUUGUUUGUAAUUCUUUUUCACAGUUUUCUUUACUUUGUGGGAUAUUAUUUAGUCUGUGUAACAUGUGUCGUAAGGCCACCAAUUUUUGAUUUUGGGGUGGUUGGAUGAAGCAUAUAUAAUUGCAUCUGUGGGUGCUGGCUUUCUGAAGAUGUCAAAUGGGUGCUUAUUGCUGUCUCUCUUUAUUGUUAUCUCCAAGACAUGUAUUUCCUUUUGUGUUUCUUUUUCCAUGGUGAAUUGAAUAGUUUUAUGUGUAUUUUUUUUAUAUCUCAUUUUCCCUUCUGGUAUUGUAGUUAUGUACCUUAUUGUUUCAUUUGAACUGUAGUGGAUUAUAUACAGCAAACUUCAUGAAGGAAUAAAUAUACUGUGAAGCAGUAGUCAAUCAUAAUUAUAUAGUAUAAUAUAAUAAUAAUAUUAAUACUUUAUUCAGCAUCGGAUAAUUCAUUGUAUAUGUAUAAAAACAGGUUACAAUUCUUGAUAGAUAGCACAAUAAUACAUUCUUCUGAAUAUGUCAUUGAUUAACAAAAUGAUUAAAUUAAAAAUAAAAUGGUUUGCUUAACACUAUUUACAUAUUUGUUGAAGCACUUCUUAUUCUGCAUGUAAGUAUAGUAUUCUUCUAAUGUGUCAAAUGGAAAUUGUAACAGGAAUUUCUUUAGCUGAAAUGACUACAUUCAUACUCUAGACAUACAGUUGUAAAUUUCAAUCAUGAUAGAUGUUGUAUCUCUAGCCAUAUACUAAAUAAAUAAUAAAUUAGCUGAAAUUUAACCUUCAUUGUGGGUAGGGUCAUAACUUUAUAACUUUACUGGAGAGUGCAUUGGCUAUCUUUAAACCUGCAUAUUGUGGAUUCUUUUCAUAGAAUGCUGUUCUGUCGUUGCUGAUGUAAAAUUUUUCUUUAUUUCUGGCAUUGUAAUGGUACAAAUUGGAACAAAUGUUGGGCUGCAGUCUUUUAACAAGUAAUAUGGCUUUUUGAAUGUACAUGUUCACUAUGGUUAGUACACCAGUUUUUGGAAACAAUCCAUGGCAUGAUUCCUUAUAUUUUGCUCCGUAGAUGAUUCUUAUAGCUCUUUUCUGAAGUGGCAAUAGCUUAUUUAGAUUUGUGUUGGUUGUUUCCCCCCUUAUUUCUAUUCCAUAAUUCAGGUGAGAGGAAAAUAGUGUGGUAUGAAGUCUUUAGGACAACAGUGUCUUUGCAGAACUUGCUGAUCAUAUUAAUUGCAAAUAUAUUCUUAGACAACUUACAUGCUCAUAUCAACAUGUGUGUCCCACUUUAGAUUGCUCUGAAUUGUUAAACUGAGAAAUUUUACACUGAGCUCUUUUUCUUUUCUCUUUUCUUUCUUUCUUUCUUUCUUUUUUUUAAUUUUUAUUAUUAUUUUUUAUUAACUGAUUGUCUCUGUAUAGUGUAAUUUCAUCAUUAAAGCUACUGUUGUUAAACUCCA